GGGGCUGUAGCUCAGAUGGGAGAGCACCUGCUUUGCAAGCAGGGGGUCACCGGUUCGAUCCCGGUCAGCUCCACCA
This 76-nucleotide transfer RNA is filed under the name Acidithiobacillus sulfuriphilus. Its description in RNAcentral is "tRNA-Ala". It matches the Rfam family "tRNA". From Rfam's summary of the family: Transfer RNA (tRNA) molecules are approximately 80 nucleotides in length. Their secondary structure includes four short double-helical elements and three loops (D, anti-codon, and T loops). The record is from RNAcentral. Lineage: Bacteria; Pseudomonadati; Pseudomonadota; Acidithiobacillia; Acidithiobacillales; Acidithiobacillaceae.